RNAcentral lists this ribosomal RNA (253 nucleotides) under uncultured bacterium. RNAcentral describes it as "partial 16S ribosomal RNA". It matches the Rfam family "Bacterial small subunit ribosomal RNA", at positions 524 to 776 of the family's 1533-position model. The record is from RNAcentral.
UACAGGGGGUGCAAACGUUGCUCGGAAUUAUUGGGCGUAAAGCGCACGUAGGCGGUUGCUUAAGUCGGAUGUGAAAGCCCUUGGCUCAACCAAGGAAGUGCAUCCGAAACUGAGCAGCUGGAGUACGAAAGAGGGUCGCGGAAUUCCCGGUGUAGAGGUGAAAUUCGUAGAUAUCGGGAGGAACACCGGUGGCGAAGGCGGCGACCUGGGUCGAUACUGACGCUGAGGUGCGAAAGCGUGGGGAGCAAAAGGG